GUUGAGUAUGCAUAUAUUAAAUUCUAAACUUGACUUGAACAUUUUAGCUUAAUUUCCCCCUUUUUUUAUUCUUUAAAGUUCAACUGAGAUAAAUAUCAGUUAGGUGUAUGUGAUUUGAGAGAUGCAACUUUUGCAAUAAGAUACAUGCCACAGUUAACAUUAAACUGGCAUAAAGCACAUCGUUGCUCAAUUCAAUACCCAGAAUGAUUUAUCUCAGUGAGUCAAGAAGUUUAUGAUGUUAGCUACGUAGCUAUGUAAGAUAACAACUGAUAAACCUGUAUUUUAACCUGAAAACUUGUCAGUGUGGAAAACACUUGAAGAUGUUGUCUGAAAUUCACCAUAUAUUGUUUUCAUUGUUCUCUUUUAUUCAUGAAAAGCAGAUUAUCUUCAUCCCUCCUUCCCACUUCAUGUCCAUGAAUGAAUACUCUCAAAUGCUUCCCUCACUCGCCGCAUAUAUGAACUGCAUCCCGGCCUGGCUGGCCAUUAAACAUUAUUCCCUCCUCAGCUUUGCUUAGUAAGAAACAGACUAUGAAUUUGACUAUUAUUAAAUGUUGAGGUACUGAUGUAGAAUGAGAGGGAUCCUAAUCUAAUUUCCUGGUUGUGCAUGCUCAGGUCAACAUUUUAAAAAUACUUUCAAGGGGGGGUUUGUGUCUUUUUGUUCCUUUAGAACCAAUGUUACUCUUUUCCACGAAUGGGGAGAUGAAGGAGGGAGUUAUGGGGGAAGCAGGAGGAGAAAAAGCAGCAAUAAACACCUGCUUGCAAUUUUACAAAACAAGAGAAAAAAAAUCUUCAAUCUGGGCUUGAAUGACUGGCUGGCUGGCUGGCAUAGGAACACGGCGUUGUUUCUCAGAUCAAUGCGAUAUCAAGCCCACCUAAACGCUGGCCAGGUGUUGACAUUUUUGACACAUGGCUAGAGAGAGGCCUUUGUAGGUAAAUCUACUCUGGAGCAGAGAAAUGUGAUAAAUGUCUUGAACACUCUUGGAAAUUCAUCGUGUCCAUAUGUACAUUCUAGGCACAGCUCAGUCAUCAAAUAUCAAAGAAGAUAAGCUGUCUAGGCCACUGUUCAGCAGUGAAAGUGUUGGAUGGGAUUUGAAAUGGGUGGGGUAAUUUGUACUCUUUUGGUGAGUACUGACAAUAAGAGAAGUGUUCAAAUGUCCCAUUGGGACACCAAGUCCAUGGCAUAACAUAUCACAAUCUUUGUGAAUCAUGUUGACACAUUAUAUGUUAUUAAUUAUAGAAAUAACUGUGCCUAAUGUUUUGCAACAUGGGAGGUAUUAAAAAGAAUAGUUCUUAAUAAAAAGGGUGAUUACAUAUCUAAAACUACAGUCUCACAGUUAAUUACCAAUGUGUCUCUUUGUAUGUUGCUGCAUCCGUGUGUCUAUGUGCUGUUCAGUGCAUUCAUCUGUUUAUUUGAGCAUUCACAGCCCGCUGAAGAUUUGGACCAUCCCAAACCGCAGUGAUGUGGACAUCGGAGUUAGUACUGUCUCUGAAGGCACAGAGAAAAGAUAUCAAAGGACCGCCAUCUGGUUCCCUCAACUCCCUCUGUUCCUCUGUCCCUGUCUGUUUCUUCCCAUCUGUCUCGGUGUCUCCACAUACAUAGUUGAGGAUUUCUUGAGUUGACUUGUGGGAUGCGUUCGUGUCCUGAAGUAACGAUCGAAAGGACCACCAUGUGUCUCCCCCUAUUGGUUGCGUAAAGCCAAAGUAAAACUACCUGCAUUGCUAAGUGUCACUAGAGAAUAAGAACGAGUGGCGUGGAUAUUACACACAAUGCAGACAUCUGACAGUGUCUACUUAGGCCUCACGACCGAGCAGCACCGCCGCUGGUACGCAAACAUUUGAUUUCACUGAUGCAUGCACACACUCACAAACACAUGCACAGCUGUAAGACACAAACACACACUCACAUAUCUCAUCUCCACCUGGAAGAUCAUCCACCAUUCACCAGGUGUUCUCUGUGCAAAGUAUUCAUGGUGACUGCACUUAGUGUACAUUUCUCUGGAGCUGGACCAUGACCUGACCUCUGCAGUUUAGCCUAUCCUCAACUGAUAAGAAGAAUCUUCCAGAACAAAGCGUCCGGUUAC
Gasterosteus aculeatus aculeatus (three-spined stickleback) is the source of this 2081-nucleotide long non-coding RNA. Lineage: Eukaryota; Metazoa; Chordata; Actinopteri; Perciformes; Gasterosteidae. The record is from Ensembl.